AAGAAACCGGAAGCGCGGGAAGCGUGAAGUGACCGGAAUGGAGCAGAAUAAAACCGGAACAGCCUCGUUUUGUUGUCGGAGCGGCGGAAGGGAAGGUUUCUCCUCCUCAGGACGCCCUGCAGACGAGCUACGGUCCCGGUUCGGUUCUUGGAGAAGUCCGGUGCGGUGGAGACGUGGAGGUUGGAGGCGACGCAGGCGGCUGGGGGGGAUGGAGCCGAGUCUGUAUGUCCGGUAACGGCAGUUCCUAGGACUUAAGGACGGAGGAGAAGAAACCCGAGACUGAUUUGGAGUCACAUUGGUCCCGUUUGGUGAACUUUGAGUUUGGUGGCUGGAGGACAACUGUUGGGUAAACCUGAGUCUGGACCCGUGAGCGCACAUGUAGAGCUUGUGUUUUUAUCAAGCAGCCCACCACCAACCAAAGAGCCCAGUCUGUGUUCUUUCUGUCACACGUUGGAAAUGAAUCGGAGAUGCCAGCCUCCCUCCCACAUCUCCCGCUGCCCACUCUGCUCUCCAGUCGCAGUUUAUUUAUCGAACAAACUGGCAUCUAAAUUGACUUUGAAAGGCUUCAGUGGCUUGACACCUCGAGCACCGUCCACCCAGUGCCGGGAUCUUCAGCAUCAAAGGUCCCCGCCGCUGCAGCAAGUUGGAGGACCGACAGGAAAACUCCUGGCCGGAUGCAUUUCUGGCUGCUGAUGCCUGCGGGAGAACAGCUGGGGAGAAACAAGGUGCUACACAACCCAACGUACACGCAACGCUGCUGAAGUCCGGUGAUUCUGCAGCCUCACAUCGUGCCCUCUGGGUGCACAUGCCACUUCCCAUCUGUCUUGUGCGCUUUGUCGAACAAGCUCCCGGAGCCAUUGUGUUUUCAGUCCAGGCUGUGAGAAUGGAUACUACAUCUUAUAGAACCACAUUAAAGUUUAAUGCUG
Amphiprion ocellaris (clown anemonefish) is the source of this 926-nucleotide long non-coding RNA. Lineage: Eukaryota; Metazoa; Chordata; Actinopteri; Pomacentridae. The record is from Ensembl.